This 274-nucleotide unclassified non-coding RNA is filed under the name Hevea brasiliensis (rubber tree). Lineage: Eukaryota; Viridiplantae; Streptophyta; Magnoliopsida; Malpighiales; Euphorbiaceae. The record is from RNAcentral.
CCUUGCAUUAGGUAAAGGUAAGAAACCAUCUCCACUAAUCUGAGCCAUGUUAACUGCAUAAGGAAGUUGUCCAAUGUUGUAUGGACUUUUAGCAUGAAAAGACCAACAUGUAUAUUGUGUAUGACCUCUUUAUCACAAUAAGUGCAAUGUUUCGAGUUUUUACCUUUAACUUUCCAAAAUCCAUUUUGUCCCUACUCCUACUGAUUAUCAGAUUGUAUUGCCAAUAUAGAUGAGUUAUUAGAAAUUACCUCGGCGAUAUUAUUGGCAUUUAAGG